Molecule: long non-coding RNA, 2333 nt
Organism: Acinonyx jubatus (cheetah)
Lineage: Eukaryota; Metazoa; Chordata; Mammalia; Carnivora; Felidae
Exons: 3
Source: RefSeq, a predicted model, not a curated record
GGACAUUUUCAUAACCAGUAGUUUGAGUUAAGUAGCAUUUUUUAAAACUGAAAUAAAUUUUAUACAUAACAUUGUGUAAAUUUCAGGUGUAUAACAUGUUGAUUUGACACAUUCCUGUAUUGUCAUAUGAUUGGCACUGUAUACUGACAAUUAGGACCUAUAAUUAUUUCCUUUUAGUGGUGGGAAUAACUAAGAUCUAGUCUCUUCACAAGUUUGAUGAUUAUGAUACAGUAUUGUGGUCUAUAUUCACUAUACUAUACAUUAGAUUUUUAGGACUUAUUUAGUACCUGUUGCAAGUCUGUUUAAUCCUUACAGAAAAAUAACCCUGGAGAAAGAAACUACCAUUUAUUAAGUGCCUAUAUGUCUCAGGGAUUCCACAAAUUUAUUUGCCUUCAUUAGCUCAUGGAUUGCGGUACAAAACUCUGCACUGGGAUUAUAGCUAUCUGGAAUUUUUUUUGGAAAAAUAUUUUUUCAAGAAAAAUAGUCUGUUCAGAUAAAGCAUUCUCACAGAGAAAAUAAUGUAGACGCUGAAGAAACAUGUAGAGCUGUGAAUGUAUGUGGGCCAUUAAGCCAUAGAAAUUUUCUAGACCUCCCCUGGUGGCCAUUAAAACUCCUGCUGAGAGCUAGUUGGUUAAUUCCAUCACAAAGUUUUAGCUUUCACCUCUAAUGGUUUUUACCAGACCAAUGGGGGAUCCCGACAGGGUUAAUGGGCAGUAAGGUUAAUUUUUGCCUUCUGGUAGAGACUUUAAGAAUUUUUGUUUUGGUUUGUUUUGACAUAUAUAGACCAUAAAUUAUAUAGCAGAAUGAAACCACAUAUUAGGCAAGGGACCAUCUUUUUUAUUUUUUAUUUUUUUCCACCAAAAUACUAUCAAACACUGGCCUUGAAAAUGACUACGUUUAGGGGCACCAGGAUGGCUCAGUAGGUGGAACAUGCGACUACUGAUCUUGGGGUGGUGAGUUUGAGCCCCACGUUUGGUGUAGAGAGUACUUAAAAAAAAAAAAACAAAACCACUGUGUCCAUUUCACAGGUCUGUUUGGGAACUACUCCAUACCAGGCACUGGGUUUAUAAUGGUGAACAAAGUAGACACAACCUUUGCCCUCAAAGAGCUUCAGAGCUGGCAAAAGAAAGAAAUACUACAAGUAAAUAUAUAACCCCAAGCUGAGUGUUGAGCCUUGUCUCUUUGUUGUAUGGAUACAACCCCAAGUUGUAGAUAUGAGAGAAUAACAGGAAGAUAACUUGCAUGGGAAGUCCAGGGGAAGUGACUUUAGCUGGGCCCUAGGGGAUGAGAAAAAAGGAGCUAGGUGAGGAGUUCUGGUGGGGGAAGAACAUUACAGCUGGAAAUGAAAGGUCCUUGAGGUAGGAAGGAACUUGGUAACUUGUGGGGACUUAAAGAAGGGCUGUGUAGGAAACAGAGUUCUUAGUCCAGGGAAAGAAAACCAACAGGAGAGACAGAGAGAAAGACAUUGGCUCACACGAUAAUGAAGGCUAAAUCCCACAAUCUGUUGGAAGCCCAGAAGAGCUGGUGGUGUAGUUCGAGUCCAAACGUUAAGGCCUUAGAACCAAAGGAGCCAGUGGUGUGAAAUGGGGCCAGUGGCAAGCCCCGUGAAUCAGGAAUGCUCAUGGUGUAAGUCCCCAUCUCAAGAGGAGACAGAUGUCCCAGCUCUACACUCAGGUAGGGGUAGAGAAUUCUCUCUUCCUAAGGCUUUUUCCACUCCGGACUUCAACCCAUUGGGCUAACGCCAACCUGGAGGAGGGCAAUCUGCCUCACUCAGUCUACCGAUUCAAAUGCUAAUCUCUUCCAAAAACACCCUCACAGAUUUGCCGAGUAAUGUUUAACUAGAUGUCCACCUGGAGAACCCAUGGCCCAGGUCAAAAUUAACCAUCACAGAGGGUGAUGGCCAGAAGAGGCAAGAGAGGAAUGCAGGGAUGAGUGGUUUGUACUGGUCAACUUGGUUACGUUGGAAAGAGGUCUCCUAGAAUCCUCUUCCCUGUUCGAUUUGGCCAAAAGAGGCAAGAGCAGGUACAGCAGCACCGUCCCUGAAAGUCAUCGUGGUCGGAUGCAGUGGUGGAUGAGAGAGAAAGAGAGCAGAGGAAGGGCAGAGAAAGCGGGAGACUGAGGAUCCAAAGUGGGCUCUGUGCUGAUAGCAGCGAACCCAAUGAGGGGCUUGAACCCACGAACCGCAAGACCAUGAUCUAAGCCCAAAGUCGAACGCUCGACCGACUGAGCCACCCAGGAACCCCAUAAAUGAACUGGCUUUUGGACCAAAAGCAGCUGGAAAUCUGCCCUCCUUUGGUCUCACCUCCGGGAACGCAAGUGCCAUGAGGGCCAGG